CUUAACAACCAUAUAGUUAAUUUAUAUAAGUUUGAAAAUAAAAAUAAAGCAAAUGCAUUUUAUAACAUUUAAGGGCAACAAUAGUUAAAAAGAUUGAAACAAUAAAUCUAAGAGGAAAUCGUUUUCAUUACACACUUAUAUAGCACAGGCAAUGCCGGGCAGGGCAGCUUGUAUAAAAUAUAAGACAAUCUUUGAAUUUUGAUACAUAUUUAUGUGCAUACUGGCUUUGUUAGCAAAUUCGAGUGUAACAGGCAAGGAGUGACUAACCAAAUCAAAAAUUGUCGAAUAAUGUACAUGGUUUAGUUAGGCGCUCAAAUUUUUUAAAUAGUUUUAGAUUCAGAGCGUAGCGAGGAAUCUAUUGGUAAUACUAUAAUUUGUUUUUUUUUCUGUUUGUGAUCAAUUUUUC
Molecule: non-coding RNA, 406 nt
Organism: Cinara cedri
Lineage: Eukaryota; Metazoa; Arthropoda; Insecta; Hemiptera; Aphididae
Source: the annotation of a GenBank genome assembly